GUGCAGCCGUAGCAAAUAUUUGAAACGGAGCAUGUUUGAUUAUUCAUCAGAGGGCGAUGUCAUUGACAACAAAGGAUGAAUGCAAUCUGCAAUGGCUCUCACUUGAUCCCCCAACGGAGAAAGACUUCAUUGGCUGGGUUUGUCAAAGAGACGGGGAUGGUGACAUCGAGAAUACUAUUGGGGAAAUUUAUUUGGACGGAAUUUUCUGUAGCCUAUGCAUUAUCUGCUUGGACUUAUCCCAUGACACUGUAUCUUAUCCAUGACUCUCAUCAGCUGAAAGCAUCAGCUAUCUCUUCAUGCUGGGGAGACUCACAUCCAAGUCCUAACAUAUGGCCAACACUGCCGUGCAAGAUAUGUCUUCGCACUACAGUGGUUUGGAUUCCCAGUUGUUUACUGGUUACCCUUGGCUGAAUUGGAGGGAUGAUGCAAUCAAGAAAAAUAUGACUGUAAGGGAAAAGAGAAAUGUUGCGAAGUCUUAUAAUCUUGCUGUUUUCCAGGAUGUUGUCGAGUUCUUCUUGACCUGCAUGGUCGGAGCACCAAUCAAGAUGAAACAGACAAUUGAGACCUUUCCUUCUGGUGCUUUUGCCUGUAAUCCUUUAUACUUUGAUAAAUUGAAAUGGUUUGUCGCCAUUUAGAAGAUCUGAAAAUGAUGUUUGAUCA
Molecule: long non-coding RNA, 660 nt
Organism: Musa acuminata AAA Group (dessert banana)
Lineage: Eukaryota; Viridiplantae; Streptophyta; Magnoliopsida; Zingiberales; Musaceae
Exons: 2
Source: RefSeq, a predicted model, not a curated record